AUCUAUAACCAUACCACUCUGAACACUCUCCAUCUAAUCUGUUCUCAGAAGCUGAGCAGGGUGGAGCCUGGUUAGUACGUGGAUGGGAAAGGGCUGUGAGCAAUUGUAAUUGAUG
RNAcentral lists this ribosomal RNA (115 nucleotides) under Jaculus jaculus (lesser Egyptian jerboa). Lineage: Eukaryota; Metazoa; Chordata; Mammalia; Rodentia; Dipodidae. The record is from RNAcentral.